UACGUAGGGGGCAAGCGUUAUCCGGAUUUACUGGGUGUAAAGGGAGCGUAGGCGGUGAUGCAAGUCAGAAGUGAAAGCCCGCAGCUCAACUGCGGGACUGCUUUUGAAACUGUAUGACUAGAUCGCAGGAGAGGUAAGUGGAAUUCCUAGUGUAGCGGUGAAAUGCGUAGAUAUUAGGAGGAACACCAGUGGCGAAGGCGGCUUACUGAACUGUAAAUGACGCUGAGGCUCGAAAGCGUGGGGAGCAAACAGG
Molecule: ribosomal RNA, 253 nt
Filed under: uncultured bacterium
Lineage: Bacteria
Description: partial 16S ribosomal RNA
Rfam family: Bacterial small subunit ribosomal RNA
Source: RNAcentral